Molecule: non-coding RNA, 20549 nt
Organism: Nothobranchius furzeri (turquoise killifish)
Lineage: Eukaryota; Metazoa; Chordata; Actinopteri; Cyprinodontiformes; Nothobranchiidae
Source: RefSeq, a predicted model, not a curated record
GGGGGGGGGGGGGAGCUGGUGGAAUGCUGGAUCUCAGAUUCAGCACCUUUUUGGCAAAAAAGUGGAGAAAGGUGUUACAAUCAUCAGCUGAAGAUAGCUGAGCCUGCUGCGGAGGAGAAGAAACUAUGCUGGAGAUGGUAUCAAACAAAACCUUAGGAUUAUUCUUAUUUUGACAUAUGAGGUUGCUGAAGAAAGAAGACUUUGCAUUUUCUACAGCUUUGUUGUAUAACUCUAGAAGUUCUUUAAAAUAUUCGCAAUGAACAACCAAACCUGUCCUCUUAGGAGUAGGAGCUAAAAUGGUGUUAGGAACUACGGUAAAAGGUUCCUAGUUCCUACUGUUGAACACGCGCAAACGGGGGCUGGAAAGGUUCUAGGAACAAAACAAAAGGAAACACUGAAGAGGAUAGUAAAGUGGUCGGGUCGCCUGCUUGGAAAACAAGUGAAAAGUGUGGCACAACUGUACAGCGGGCAGGUAGACAGAAUUGCCAACGCUAUUGUUAGGGACACGGGCCACCCACUGCAUGCCCAGUUUGCCCUCCUGCCAUCAGGACGGAGAUUUAUUGUGCCUAAGUGCAGGACCAAGAGGUAUAAAAGGAGCUUUAUUCCUGAGGCAGUAACAAUUCUCAAUAAGAAAUGAGUCUGGCGUGGCUACUUUACUUGAUUUUAUCUCUAUUUAUUCAUGUAUUGUUUUUAUAAUUUUUGUAUUUUUAUGGAUGUGUGUAUAUUUUGUGAGUGUGUGUGUAACUGGGCGCUAAUUCUCAUGUCACAUGGCAAAUCAAAUUUACCUUCGAGUACUAAUAAAGUUACCUUGACCUUGACCUUGAGGAACUACAAAAGGUUCCUACAGUCCGAAUGUGCCUUAUGAGGACACACACAGCAAUUUAACAAAAUAAUGUGGUUCAGAGUCUCCAAAAGCCACACAUGCCUGCCUUUGUUUAUCUUAUUAUGGUGGACACCGCGGCCUUUCGCCCAGCGGCUCGGGGAUUUCCACAUCCCUGAGAAGUCCUUCAGAUUUACAGUAUAUGUAAGCACUACACCGCCCAUCGAGACCGAACUGACGCUAUCCUCCCCGCACCGUACCGACGCUAAUGUGUAAGUGGCAAUUAAGGCUCCAUCAGAUGUUGUUUUUCAUCUGGUGGUGGGGUCCAGAAGCAGCUGAGAUGCUGACCUCAGCGCUCUGACUGGAUCAUGAUGCUGCAGCUUAUCAGACACAUUUCAUUUCCUUAAAGAGUCUUAACACCUCCUGAACUGAAUGAUGAAACUAACCUAAAGCAGCCAGGGCGCAUGAUCAAUCUGAAUACGGUCACACUCACCCUGUCACAAAAGGAAGACUUCAGCUUGUUAGAGAGGAAAUGUUUGUGAGGCAAAGAGCUUUUCCAGACAACAUCCUGAACAAAGUGACUCCAAGAAGAAGUGAAUGGAGGAGAACCAGAUGUUCAUGGAAGAAUGAGAAUCAGAAGGGUUUUAUUGCCAUAUGUGCGUGAAUCAUAACAAUAGGAAAUCGCUGCGGUACUUGGUACAAGAAAAAAGUAAAUGAUAAGCAAAAUUAGAAUUAAGAAAUGAACACAAUGUAAUGAUAACAAUAUAGGGAAUCAAUAAUUAGAGAAGCAGCUACUUUGUAUAUGUAGUUAGAGGGAGCUUGUUGGGUAAUUUUUACUUCUCCAUAACCCUUGAACCUGAAAUAAACACACAUCAUAAGAGGGAAUUUCAUUGUACCCUGAGUCCCCAAAAUGAUGGAGAGUCGACGCAGGGGAAACCCCCUCCGAGGCUGGCCCCAUGUCACUCCCAUGAGUCCUCAGUUUACCAGGGGUUUUAUUGACCAACAGGACAGAGAAGGUGGGCCUUCUCAAGUUACAUACAGGUACACCCAUCUCCUAGGGUUACCAUGGUUACCACAUUCCAGAGAUCUGGCCUCAGGCCUUACAAAGAAAGAUUCACAGACCAACCAACAUGAACAUUUAAUAAAAAUACCUAACAAAUCCCUCCUGAUGUUCAUUUUGGUUGUCAUAACAAAACCAAUGCAAGAUGUCAUUAACCCAAUAAUCAAUUAGUAAGCAAGAAUUAUGAUUGACGCACCCUAUCAAUGCGAGGACUUUAGCUUAACACCAGACAGACACCAUUUUAUUCUGCAUUCCUAGCUUUAUUAGUUUAUUCCCCCUGAAUGUUACCUUUGAGCAAUAACAAUAAAAAUAAAAUACAUUAUCAUGUCAACAAAAACCAGAGUACGAAUUAUGACACACCCACCAACCUGGAAUUUGGAAUGACCAAUCAAUCGGAUCUUAGCUCAACAUUAAACCAGAUAUCAAAACCUCUAUAAUACUCUGAGCUUUAUUAAAUCAAUUCACACCAGUAGACAUCAAAAACCAGAUAAAAUUGAUGACCAUUACCCAAUGCAUGAAGUGCAUAUCAUAAAACGCUGAAGAUGAUUUACGGAUCUCUGAACCUUCUCCACAUCUGUCAUUUCCUCCUGUGGUCAAACCAUGGCUUGUAGGACUGAACAGGUUUCAAAGGUUCUGUAUUUUCAGUGGCUGGCUGACCCGUGGUUCUGGUUCCCUCCGAACUUUGUGUUUGACCCCCGCACCUCAUCUCCAGUUCAGGCGUGAUGCACUGCAAUGAGUCUUGGUCACAGACUGUGCUCUCAGCUCUGUGUCGUCCUGCUGAUGUGUCGACGCAGGAUGGAGGUUGGUACUGUUUUGUGUCACUUCCUGAGCGAGCUGACUGAUCCACAGCAGGUUUGUGGUGUUACAUCAGCUCAAUCAUGUCUUCUGGCCUCAUCCGUCUUGGACUGCAAGUCAGCAGUUCUGCCAUGUCUUUCUGGCCCAUCUUGGACUGUAGUUCAGUGACCUGACCUCCUUGCGAACUUUCACAGCUGCUUGCACAGAGGAACUCAGACUUCCCCUGCUGGUUAUGGUAUUUGGGUGAUCUGAUCCUGUGAAAGUUUCUAGGUCCUGGUGUUCAAAUAUGUCCCAGUCUGUCUCUGUGAAGCAGUCUUGUAAUUUGUUGAGAGCAUUUUCUGGCCAGGUUGUAACAGUCCUUGUGGUGGGCCUGGCACUGCGCCUGAGGGGAGUGUAGGCUGGGGAGAGCAGGAGAGAGAGAUGGUUGGACUGACCAAGGGAGUGUACAGUCGGUAAAAACGGCUCUCCCUUGCCCUGCCUCCAACAUGCCUCCAUCUAAAUAGGAUACAUUAUCCAGAGUUAUCUCUGUAGUUAUGCUGCUAUAGGCUUAGACUGCUGGAGGAUACACUGACCACUUUUCACACUCUACUGCUUUAUUCUAGUCUGCUCUUUAACUGUAUUAUUUUCUGCAAUUUCAGCUGUUAACUUUAUUUUCCCUCCAAGUGUUUUUCUCCCCAGAAGAAGCUAUAAUGAUGUUCUGCUGAGCUGUGGUGGCCUCAUGGAGGGGGCUAUCGUCUAGCACACUGCUGCUAACCACUUAAACAUUCUCCCUCUACUGAUAAUAACUUUUUGCUUUCCUUGACGUUGGAUGUGCUACUGCUAGUUUAUCCAUUUAAUUAUAGAUCCACUAGGAUAAAUAUAAUAAAGGUUAUCUCUCACCAAAUAGAAUAUUUACUAAGAAAUCACAAUGUAACUAUAGACACAUUACUUUGUCGUGUGUGUGUGUGUGUGUGUGUGUGUGUGUGUGUGUGUGUGUGUGUGUGUGUGUGUGUGUGUGCUAUGUCUUCUCGAUCCUCUAGUGGUUUUUCCUGUUAAAAGGGAGUUUUCCUCUCCACUGUCGCUUUAUGCUUGCUUAGUAUGAGGAUUGCUGUAUAGUCACUGACACUAGUCAGUGACUUGAUGCAAUUUGCUGGGUUCCUUAUAUAGGAAACAUUAUUUCUGAAUGGCUUAAUGAACUGACCUGAAUUGGAAUGUUUAUUAUGUGAAGUGCCUUGAGACGACUCUUGUCGUGAUUUGGUGCUAUAUAAAUAAAACUGAAUUAAAUUGAAUUGGGAAUACAUAGUAAUAAAAAUUUAUCAGACGUUAGACAUAACAGAAGAGAAGAAACUAAACUGAAGUAUAUGGUGGGAGAAGGGGGCGAACAAAGAUCAUCUGCAAUGGAUGCACCAUUUUCAUUGUUCGAAUUAGACAAGGUACUGAGGUUGAGUAAAGUAUCAGCGUCAGGAAAAGACAAUAUCAGCUAUGUAAUGCUUAAUCAUUUAGGGGAUAAGAUGAAUGCUAAACUGUUGGAAUUGUUCAAUAAAGUCUGGGAUGAAGGGAAGCUGCCAAGGAAUUGGAAAGAAGCAUUAAUAAUACCAAUACUUAAACCAGGAAAAACCCCAAGUAACCCAGAAAAGUACAGACCUAUAGCAUUGACAUCACAUUUAGGGAAGAUCAUGGAGAGAUUAAUUACGGACAGAUUAAAUUAUUAUUUAGAAAGUAAGAAAUUGUUAACUAAGUAUCAAAACCGAUUCAGGAAAGGUAGAGGAACAAUGGAUCCAGUAGCGAGUAUGGAAACUGAAAUUAGAAGAGCACAGAAUAAUGAAAGUCUAAUAGUUGUUUUUUUUUCUCGAUAUUGAGAAAGCUUAUGAUAUGUGUGGAAGGAGGGAUUACUGAUUAAAUUAAGAAGAUUAGGAAUUGUAGGUAAAACAUAUAAUUGGAUAAAGGAUUUCUUAUUUAAUAGAUUCAUUCAAGUGAAAAUAGGGCAUAGCACUUCAAAUAGUUAUACGGUUGACAAUGGUACACCUCAGGGUAGAGUAAUUUGUCCAGUGUUGUUUUCUGUUAUGAUUAAUGAUGUGUUUGAUGAUUUAGGAUUAGAUAUUGGUAAAGCUUUGUUUGCGAAUGAUGGUGUUAAAAGGAAAAAGGGAUGAAAUAUUAAAUAUGUACAGAAGAAACUACAGGAGGCAAUCAUGAGGGUAGAAGAUUGGUCUUUUGACUGGGUCUUUAAAUUUUCAGUUGACAAGUCUAAAAGUAUGGUUUUUACAAAUAAAAUAAAUGUCAAAAUUGAACUCAAAUUGUAUGAAACUUUACCAGAGCAGGUUCAUAGUUUCAAGUCACAGCAAAUUGAAAAGUGUUACUUUUCCAGAGUUUGAGUAUGUAGUUAUUUUUUUUACACUGCAGUGUAUAUUAAUAAUUUAAUACACUUCCUGUGUUGAUAGAGUGACUCCUACUGGUGUCAGUUGUUUAAGCAGGAUUGGUGAAGAGUUUUUCCUGUCCUUACUAGCUCUCUUGGUGUUUAUUUGUGAUUGAGUCUCCACGGUUCUCAUUUCACAUAUCGUGCGUGUUUACGUCAUGGGCGUCUGUUGACGCCGACGCGUGCAGGCGGCCAAAGGAAAGUUUUCGGCGGGACGGUCCUCCAUUGAUUUACGGAGCAGUGGAAGAAACAGCGAUUUUCCAGACAACGUAGCUUACAGGUAAGGCAUAUAUUGAUGGAAUUUUAAUUUCAAAGACAACGUUUAAUAAACUGGCCGUUAGAACUGGUACAUAUUGUCAUCAUUAUCGCCUGGCUUUUAGUUUAGGAGAAACUAAUUUGCCGUUGCUAACUAAAGACAACGCAAAAUAUGUAUUUAUACACAACUCUCAAUUUUAAAAUGCAGUAAAUAAAUGCCAUGGAAGCGGUCUUUAACUGAAGCUGUUUAGCAAGAAACCCAGGGAAUACUUUGUUGUGUGCUAGCAGUAAUAGAAAUGUGCUUUGUAGUGAUGGGACGAGCUAACUUAACGUAGCAGUUUUUUCCCCGAAAUACUAGUUUUCUUUUUGAAUUGCAGUUCUGCUGACUCCCGCCUUUACAUGCUUUAGCAAUCGUGGAGAAUGCUUUUAGGUUUAUUCCCAGAAUUUUUCAUAAAGCUAAUCCUAAAAACAAUGAAGAAAAGCUUGAAGACCCAGGCGGUGUACACUCUAGUGGCGAGCACGUUUACAAAUCAUCCAACCCAGGAGUGCCACUUUGUUUUCCGCCUUGAUGGCGACAUUUUCCCUUCGGACUUCGUAAGCUAGGAAGAGUUGCAAACCAAUUCCCCGCCAUGGACAACAGAGGGCGUUGCGCUUUCCUGAAGAAUCCUGCCACCAUUAUGAUUGAUCGCUGCAGUUCUCCGUCCUCAGUCUCGAUCAAAGUUAUUAGAAAAAUACGAGUUUUACAUAUCCUUGUCUGUUAGUGCAGCCAGCCACCCAGCAAGUAGUUACCAUUUUACUGUGAAAUCAACUAAAUAAAAGCGAUAAAAGGCUACAGACAGGCUUGUUUUGACUAGCUUCACCGGAGUUUCAACGUGUGUAAACGGCCUUUUUCAAUUCAAUUCAAAGAUACUUUAUUAUUUUGCCGUCCAUCAAGGUGAACGAGCCGAUCCCAUGUGUGGCGUGAGGUCACAUGCAAAGGGUCAAUACCGACGCAGACGGAGAAGUAUAAAUCCGGCUCAAAGACUGAAAACUGGGUGUUUCUUUGGAAGGAGCCUUGAAAAGCUAAGCUAAGUAGGAGCAAUCGAUUUCAGUUGGGGAAACAAAAUAAAUCUGGACUAAAGAUGAGAAGGUUUCCACUGUGCAAAGGAAUGCAUAUAAAGGUUAUUGCUAUAUGCUGGCUGCUGUGAUUCUUCUUUUUCCCAGACGAUGCUUUUCAAAGUGCAGUAUAUAGGAAAAAAAACGCUAUAUCAAGCUCAAUGGAGCCUCAUAUUCUACAUUCCUCAGUCAAGCCAAGGAGAAGUUUGGCAUCCAAGAUGAUAAAAGGAUGUAUCUUGUGGAUGAAACUGGGACAGAAGUAGAUGAGGAUGUCUUUACUGAUGUUCUGGAGGAGAAAUCAGACAUUGUCUGGACCCUCAUUGAUGCCUCUUCUGUUGAAGAAUCUUCGGUGCAAUCCUCAUGCACAGACACGCUCUCCUUGUCAUCUUUUUCUUCAGACAGCGAGUUAUCUGUUCUGUCCCCUAAAAGACGUCGCAUUGAUGAAACCACGAUGAUGUCCCCAAGAAGAGAUCAAAAUGAAGACACUUCAUUACAAGCCAAAGAGGUGAUAUUUUCAAUUCAUUUAAAUAAAUUACAUUUAUUUGAUUUAAUUUUGUGUGAAUUUGUUUCUAAAUGGAGGCUGUUAUUAAUAGGGAGGCUAAGUCACACCCAUCUACUUCUGGACCACGGGUCCCCCAGAAGAACAAAAAAAUGAAUGCAAGUCAACGGGGCUAAAACCGUUAUUUUCUAAUUUCGCUUGUUAUGUGCCAUGGAUUUUACAUAUGAUGUCCGUGAAUUUUAAAGAUGCAUUUUGAUACCAAGAAAGCGCUUAUUUUCUAACGGGAGGAAACGUUAUUUUAGAUGUUGUGUGAAAAUAAGCCCAAGACUACAAAUGCAUUUCACAAAAGUGACGUCAUCGAACCAGACACGGAGAAAAACAGAGGGAAAAUAGCUGUAAGUUCAGCAAACUUCAAAUCCUUCCUUCAGACGGAGAAAACGCCAUAAAUCUGGCCAUUUGGUAAGUAGCAGCUACGCUACGGGAGAAGAGAUUCUGUGGUGACGUCAUAUAUGCAACGUGCUGAUGUUUGAUUUGCAGUCAUUCUAAUUACGAACAUUUACAAGCUGAUAAAUCUCAAAGUACGUGACUGGUGGGGUCCAAACACCCAUCAUUAGUUUUCAUUUAAAUUGCAGUACAACAUAUGUGCGAUCCAGGGCGUAAGGCAAAGCAGAUUAGAAAAUAGCGGUUUUAGCCCCGUUGACUUCCAUACAAUGUUUUCAUUCUUCUGGGGACCGAUGAGCCGACCGGAAAGGGAAGAGACUUAGGCUCUCUAUACAGUGCCUCUGGAAAGUAAUCACAUCACUUUUUCCAUAUUUUGUCUUGUUACAACCUUACUCCAUGUUACAACCCAAGCAUCUAGGAGAUCUGGGGUAACAUUGAGGACACGUAGCACAGGUAAAAAUCAGUAUAAGAAACAUAAUUUAACAAAAAUGGCCCCUGACGUCAGGCUUAAACAUUCACAGAAACUGAAACUAAUACAAGGAGCUGAAUUGACUGAAAAGGAACACACAAUGCAAACACACUCAAAGUCUCAUUAAAUGACACCACUGUGUCCAAACUGAGACCAAACACACAGUCUCCACAGACAUUGUGAUAUCUUGGCUGUGUGCUUAAAGACGUUCUGCUGAAAGAUUACCGUCUCUUCAGUCCGAAGUCAAGGGUGCACUCAGGUGUUUAUUUAGGAGGUCUGUGCAUUUCUACAUUAAUCUUUCCCUCUAUCCUGAGUUUUCUCUCAGUUCUUCCUGCUGAAGAAAAUUGCCAUAGCUUAAUUUUGCACUUUAUCUCAAAAAUAGUGAAUAUUUAUGCUUUCGUAAUUAAUUACCCUGUUUAACACAGUUGCAAAAUAUCCCAAAAAUCUUUUUUCACAUUAUUAUGGAGGGUUGUGUAUAGAAGUUUAGUUAAAAAAAACAGGAAAGUUUAAGAAAAAAACAAGGCUGUAGCCUGUAAGAAAACAAAAUGUGGGAAAACAAAAGUGAUGCACGGUGAAUAAUUCUCAAGUGCACUGUCUGUACUUUAAUUAUUUUUGUCGUUUCACUCUGAAGCUUGUUGAAAAACUUCUGCAAACCAAGCCAGGAGGUGAGAAAAUACUCAAAGAAUACAGACAAACAAGAGAGGUUAAGGACCCAUUACCAUAGGCGUCAUUUUAACCGGGGACGCCGGGGACAUGUCCCCGGCAAAAUUUGUGAUUGGCAGCUGUGUCCCCCCCACUUAAAAAAAAGCCUGCUGAUGAGGAUUUUUGUUUUACCAGCUCAGAUCUUAUACCAGGGUUCGGCAACCUGUUCCCAUCAAAGAGCCAUUCUUACCCGUUUCCCACAGUAAAGAAAACACCGCAGCAGCCGCGGCGUUGUGGGCGGGGCCUACCCUCAGACAGCAGAGAGCUGCUCACAACCAGGUGACAGCAGCCAGUACCGGUCGCUCGCAUGGGCGUCGCACCCGUGGGGGACACAACACCCACACUUUUCCUUCUGUUUUGCUCACCUCCACACCAGUCUGGUUUCUUUACGUCGCACUCACAUCUCCUUCUUCACCUCCCUCUUCUGACAGCCGAUGUCGGGUUUCCAGGAGAGCAGGAGAGGGAGGGACGGAAGAGCUCGACUGAAUUCAUAAUUUUACAUCUUGACAUUAGCUGUACAAAGUCUGAGUUUGAUAACGUGAAGAACAACAAGUUGCAGAGGUUUAUAACAGGCGUGGCGCCAGGUUUUCAUUUUUGGGUGGGCCACGGUAAUUCUGGACGGAACUUAAUAAACAGUGACUUAGUGAAGCAGGCAGGGCACGCUAGAAAAUUUCAUUUAAAAAGACGUCAUAAAUGUGUUCCCCCGUCAUUUUUAUUUAUAAAAUAUGAAGUAAAAACUCCCAGUUUAAUUUUCAUUCAUUUGUCAUUAAUAUGUAGUCUACACCCGUGCGUUAAGUGGACCAUCUUCCAGUAAACGCAAAGCAUCCAGCCCACCUCUCCAAAUGCGUAAAAUGUGCAUCAGCUGCUAGUUAGGCGCGCCGCACGCACCAUCAGCUACGUCAGCCCAGACAAGAGCAGAGCAAAUAGAAUAGAGGAUAAUUGUGUCUGGAUGUGGAUGGAGAUUACAUUUUACAGCAGCCUGAUCAUCAUUUAAAUACGUAAGCCAUCACCUGUCUUCUAGUGCACGCUAUCAGCAUUAUUUUAAUUGGUGUGUGUGUGUGUGUGUGUGUGUGUGUGUGUGUGUGUGUGUGUGUGUGUGUGUGUGUGUGUGUGUUUUCCACUUCAAACACUGGUCUAACCAACCAGACCAGCGUGUCCAGUAACAUAUUAAUGUUACACUUCAUGUAGGGAACAUUUCACCUGCCGUGGCCCGACUGCUUCUGCUCCACAUAAACUUUGUGCGUAAUCAAAUGUCUCUACAGGUGCUUUAUGAGCUGAAGAGGCGAUUCUGCCUCAGACUGGAUGCGUAAUGCGUCUCCAUAUUAGAGACGGGAACAAGCGCUGUUCAGCCAAAGUUUCAUAAUUUCAUAAAAAGAACAUUUUCCAGGUGACACAUCCCUCAGAGAGACCGGGUUUCCAGAACGUUUCAGUGGGAGGAAAUCUUACCGCAUGCACCGUGGUUCUGCACUGCACUGCGAACCCCUCUACAGAUCUUCAGCCCACUGUCCACCGUGGGCGCUCCGAGCCGCGCUGAACACAGUGUCCAGUAUAAAGCUCUGAUGUUCUGAUGGGAAUCAAGUUACCUCUGCGAUGUGCGUAAUGAUUAAAAUGUCAGCUCAUCCAUGCGCGUCGUGGUAAUCCUUUCAAAACAACCAACAUCCUUGAGUUUAUCCGUCAAUAUGUGGCAAGGUGGAGAAACGAGGGCCCGGGCGGGAUUCGAUCCCCAGACUCCCGGGUGAGAGUCAUACGCUCUAACCAGUCAGCCAAAGGGACAACCCCUUGGCCAAGUAGCCAGGGCGCAUUAUCUAUCGGGACACUGUGACAGGACACUCACACUGCCACACCUGAUUAUGAAACUUUGGCUGAAUAGUGCUUGUUCAUGUCUCCAUUGUGGUGACGCAUCCAGGAACCUGUCUGAGGAGAAGCCCAGAAUCUGACAUCCUUCAGCUCAGGAAGCGCAUAUGAUUACGCACAAGCGUGACGCGUCAACCCGGUCUCACAGUAAGACCGGGUUGGACCUGUUCAGGUUUACGCAGACAAUCUUUACAUUUAGAAUUGGCAUACAGAUGUAAAAUUAAUGCAGUAAAAUAUAAAGCUUUUUAUUUAAAUAUCCAUUCAUUAUUUUACAAGCACAGAGAGCCGCAUCAGAUGGAUGGAAGAGCCGCAUGCGGCUCCGGAGCCGCCGACCCCUGUGCUAGCCUACUUUAUUGUCCCCAGCAAUUUUUAAACCCCACUCAAGUGUAUGGUUAUUGUCUCCAGCAAUUCUGAAAACAAACUGACGCCCUUGCUUGUAGCACCAGUAGAAGACGUAUCGUAGUACCAGCAGACGUAAAGUAGCACGUGCACCAGUACAAUUGUAAUCGUCUGCACGCACGGAGGUGCAGGUGGCGCGAUGACGUCACAAAGCCUUUAUGACUAACACGUCUGCAGCAUGGACAUAUACAUAUAGGUCUGCAGUCAGUGGUCAGUCAGUAUCAGACUUGCUUUGAAGAAGGUGGUUGGAUGGAUUGUUGCUCUCAGAAAACUUGUUGGUUUUGUGUAAACAACAUCUUUUAACAGCUUCCUUCAGAGAAAUCUGGUGCAUUUGGUGAAUAUUUAUAGCUAAAUUAUUCACUGCUCGAAUAUCAUGGAGUGCAAAAUGGUCUUUGUUCUCUCAAACAGCCAACCAGGUUUCCAGUCAGGGCUAAGGUCCUCUGAGCUACAGUCGUUUCACAAACGACGCAGAUAUGAACUUCUGGCUAGCUACAGAGGAACUAGCUUUGCAGAAACACAAAAACUGUGUCUGUCUGCAUCAAAACCUGACAAGUCUCGUCAGAUUCAGCCCUUUGAGGAACCAAGUGUCUUUUUCAAGACAGCCGUGUCUGUGGACCCCAGUGGAGGUUUAACAUCCAUCUCCAGAAAAAACUCCCCUGUUUUACGGGCUAAUCGACAAGACCAAAGAUAUAAAAUGCUGGCAAGGUACCGAGGAAUUUCCUUAGUGGAGAAAAGACAGAUGUCCUCUGUCCAACUCCAGGAUACUCCUCGCAUUCAGCUGUUGGGGAGAAGAAAGCGUUCGAGUGACGGAGGUCAGGAGAACUCUGAUUUCCCCAGCGCUGCUAAAAGGCCGAGGCUGUCAGAAGGCACACCUCAGCAGAAACGCCCCACUAUGAUCCGCCUCAAAGGUCGUAGGAAAGGGACGGAUUCAGGACCCAAAAGUGUCUCUGAACCCCCCAAAACUGCAUCUACCAUCAAGUCUGAGCAGCCUCGAACUCCACUAACCUGGAUUAUUGGAUCCAGUUACAUCAGACGGGGUGAAGAGGCGGCUCAGCAGCAGUUUGGGACAAACUUUGGACUCAGAGCUAAGGUCCAAUGGUUUGGUAAAGGAGGCAUGCGCAGGGGUGGUGUCCUUCCCAGGUUUUACUCCGAGGCUCCCACACACGGUCCUCCAGAUAUUCUGGUCGUUCACGCUGGAGGAAACGAUCUGGGUCUCGUUUCCCCGGUGGAACUGGCUUCUCAGAUCCAAAAGGAUUUGUCCCACCUCCAUAAGGACUUUCCGGAAAUGAGAAUAGCCUUUUCCGCCAUCAACGAACGGCAGUCGUGGAGAUACGGGCGACCAGGAAGAAUUAACAGCAACAGAAAACAGGUUAAUUCUUUACUGAGGAGGGCUGUUAGGAGCUUUGGGGGCCUGGUCAUCAAGCAUCCUGAGCUCAGGUUCUCCAACAACGCCCUUUUUCUCCCAGACAGAGUGCAUUUCAGUAAGAGAGGAAACAGCUUGUUUCUGGGCAGCAUUCACUCUGUUCUGGAGAAGAUUCUGGCUCAGAGGUGUAACACCUAAAUCUGUUACACCUUAAAAAGAUAACAGCUGACAGAAAUGGGCAAAUGGACACGCUUCUCAUCCGGCACGUGUGUGAAUCAACCGUUGGAUUAGGACUCCUGAAGAGCCAAAAACUGUCACGCUGAGCAGGUAGGACCCAAAACGCAGAAGCCCAGAAUGACUCGAGGCAAGAGCAGUUGAAAAAAGGUCAAAUCCUUUUAUUAAGGUGGCAACAAAAAUGACUUAGAUGCAGGAAUCAAAUCCAGAAAACUGAAAGCCAAAAAAAAAAUAAAGAAACAAAAGCUCAAUAAUGAGCACAAAGACUAGAACCUGACGAGGGAACAAAACAACGCUGACUCACAACGAUGGACCGACAAACACUGAGGGAAAAGACAGGACUUUUAAACACAGAACGAGGUGAUCAGAGGAACAGGUGACAGGUGUGAGUGAUCUGGAGGGAAGGCAGGUGCAUUCAGUAAACUAAAUGUGGAAAGAACUAAGCAGGAGAACCUGGAGGAGAACAGGAGGAGGCUGGGGACAGAGGGACACAGAACAUGACAACAACUGUCUUUUUAAAGACAAAACUAAACAAAAAACAUGAAAAAGAUGAACUUAAAGUUCAGAAAGCAUCUGAAUAAAAACCAAACCAAAAAAAAAAAAUCCAACUAACUGCCAGAGUUUCCCUUUUGGGUCACUUCUGCCGGUCCCAAGCCCAGAUUAAAGAGGAGGGGUUGGAUUAUAACACAGAACUAAAUCCACAGUAGAGGGACUUUACUCUUAAGAAAUAAAAUGAAGGCAGGUUAUGACAUAUACAAAUAUAUUUAGUAAACAUUUAUAGUUUCUAAUCAAACAUGUCAAAUAUAAAACUAUUUAUUAUACAAUACAGUACAAACCCAGUUGCAUCAGUGCAGCCGACUCUCACCAGAAAUGAGCUCGACUAACUGCCGACAAUGCGGACCGAGCUCUGACACCAGUCGUACAGGGUCCUUACAGCCCGUAUCAGAGGGCCUGGUACCCCAUACUCCUGAAGUACCCCCCAGAGGGUAUGGGCUGUUAGGACCCUGUACCCUACCCUGUACCCUACAGGUCCUGUUCUUGACUGGACCUGUAGUCACCUCAACAUCUGAUGCUGUACAAAAGGAGGAGGACUGAAACUUCAGCAGCGAGCUCUGAAGAAGACUGCAGUAGCAGUUGAAUGUGUUAAAGAAGAAUGGUGGUGAAAAUGACCUCCAUCCUACAACACCCCUCCUACCCACUCAGUGUAUAACCCCUCAGUUUAAGCUGUACUGGCAUGAUCCUGGUACACAAUAACACCAAUGCAAUAUUCAGUAUGUGUUCAAUAUUCGUGCAAUACCGGAUUUACAUGGUAUGCCUGUGUCCCUUACAGCAUGCUGCAUAGUUCUGGAACCCAAGUUUUUCAUUUUUAUUUGUAGUUUUUAGUGGUCGAAGGUUACAAUAAUAGCUUACUGCCUAUUUGUUAUUAUUUCUCUUCAAAUGAUUCUGGUGAGUGCUGGUGCUGCUGUAACAAGUGAAUUUCCCCACUGUGGGAUCAAUAAAGUCUCUUCUAUUCUAUUCUAUAUUAACAAUCGCUUUCUGCUAUGAUUAAUAAUGUAUCUUCCUUCAGUGCAUGUAACAACUCUGGGGUGGUUUUUGAUUUUUAAAAAAAUUCAUAAACAAGUUGACUCAUGAGUCAAGUAGUUUUCAUACCUCCAGAUUUUAGCUAAAGUUAAGCUCAGCUUUCAGCAGAUGAGUCCAACAGGUUCCAGCUGAGAGCUAUUUUUAUGUUUUGGUAACAAUGACCAGCACAAAUCAUCACUUUGGAAAAGUCACACCAGGUAAUCUAGAAAUCUGAUGGAGGACAUGCAAGUGAAACUGGAAACAUGUAAAUAUUGUGUAAAAGUCCAUCUAUUUCAGUAAUUCAACUUAGACAGAGAUACCAAGAGCGAGCCACCCCGAUUAUCUUGCCAUGACAUGUCGAGAUGUGCAGCAAAACAUGAAGUUACGUGGAUUUUUAUGCUAAACAAGCUUCUCGAAUGAAUGAUAUGGUGGACAUCUUGCAUAGCAUGGCAGAAAUUAAAGGAUAUGUUAAGAAGAUACUUAUGGAAUAAUGGCAAGAGCAUUGGAUAAGAGAGGAAAAGGGAAGACAUCUAUAUAAAAUUAGGGACAGAUUGGGUAAAAUGGAAAACAUUCCAAUGUGUAAUAGGAAUCAAAUGAUAAUUUCAAGACUGAGAAUGGGGCAUACGGGUUUAAACAGUACACUCUUUAUGAUAGGUAAACAUAGUACAGGAAUGUGUGGUUGUGGAAAGGAUAGAGAAACGGUAGAACAUGUGUUGUGUAAAUGUGACAAAUAUAUAAAGAAUAGGAAAAUAUUAUCUAGACAAUUAAAGAUGAAAGAUAAUGAAAAGUUGAAUUUGAGGAAUAUAUUAAUUGGAGGAUUAGAUGUUUAUAAAUUACUAAUUGAAUUUUUAAAGACUAGUAAUUUCAUAAAUAGAAUUUAAUUAGAACAGUUUCUCCCUAUUGCGACUCCCACUCCCACACAGAAGGUGGCGGAAAUGCACCUAGAAGUUGGUUGCCACCCGCCAAUAAACAAGAAGAAGAAGAAGAAGCUGGGCGAGAACGUUUACCUGGUGUCCUGACAGACAGGUGGGGCAGCGUGUCUGAGCUGUACACUGGGUGCAUGGAGGAUUAUUUUUACGGGUAAGGGAUCCUUUUAGUUUUUAUACAAUUGUUUAGAAAGGCUGGGGCUGGGGCUGUGUGUGUGUGUGUGUGUGUGUGUGUGUGUGUGCGUGUGCGUGUGCGUGUGCGUGUGUGUGUGUGUGUGUGUAAAUGAGCUGUAGGAUCAGUGGUGUGCAAGGGCGUCAGUUUGUUUUCAGAAUUGCUGGGGACAAUAACCAUACACUUGAGUGGGGUUUGAAAAUUGCUGGGGACAAUGUAGGCUAGCACAGGGGUCGGCGGCUCUGUAGCCGCAUGCGGCUCUUCCAUCCAUCUGAUGCGGCUCUCUGUGCUUGUAAAAUAAUGAAUGAAUAUUUAAAUAAAAUGCUUUAUAUUUUACUGCAUUAAUUUUACAUCUGUAAGCUAAUUCUAAAUGUAAAGAUUGUCUGCGUAAACCUGAACAGGUCCAACCCGGUCUUACUGUGAGACCGGGUUGACGCGUCACGCUUGUGCGUAAUCAUAUGCGCUUCCUGAGCUGGAGGAUGUCAGAUUCUGGGAUUCUCCUCAGCUCCUGGAUGCGUCGCCACAUUGGAGACAUGAACAAGCACUAUUCAGCCAAAGUUUCAUAAUCAGGGAACAUUUUCUAAGUGACAAGUCUCUGAGAGACAGGGUUUGGAAAACGCUCGCUUCAGUGGGAGGAACCUUCUCACAUGCGCUCUGGUUCUGAGAGCCUGGAUUUGUAUUCUGAACAGUCUAAACAUGUUUUUAAAAGAAACGUAUGACAAAAGUGGCACCUGCUCAGUAAAACCACCAACAGGGUGAAAAAUAUCAAAAUAUUGUAGGCAGAGAUGGGCUACAACUUCUGGAUCCACUUCAUAUAAAUCGUUUUAUUGAUUAUCUUCUUAUGAAAGAUAACUUUGACGUACACGAGCGACCAGGCGUGUUGCAAGAUUUUCAAAAGUGUGGGAGAUGUUGUCUGUGCCUAAAAUAAUUUGAUGUUAUUCACCUUGUUAGUUUAAUUUCCAUAAUAGCGGAGCAGGUGCGAAUUUUAGACGCGUUACGCAUGUCUCCGUUUUAAACAUGUUUAAACUGUUCAGAAUACAAAUCCAGGCUCUGUCUAGUUAGAUUGGUGUAACUAAAGUUUGUACAGAAUGAAACUUUACAUUAAACCAUGUUGAAAAGAAAAGGAUCCGAUUAAAUCAUUUCCCCUCAUUUACAGUCACGACGUACAGCGCAGUGCGCAUGGCUCUGGGGUUAAUCAAGUUUAAUUGUUUCUCUUUGCAACAAUCUUCACAAGAAGGCAAAACAGUUAAAUGGCAGGUUACAGAUAUUUCCAUUUGACUGUAUUUUGAUGGAUAAACUCAAGGAUGUUGGUUGUUUUGAAAGAAUUACCCCGACGCACACUGAUGCGCAUGGAUGAGCUGACAAUUUAAUACGCACAUCGCAGAGGUAACUUGAUUCCCAUCAGAACAUCAGAGCUUUAUACUGGACACUGUGUUCAGCGCGGCUCGGAGCGCCCACGGUGGACAGUGAGCUGAAGAUCUGUAGAGGGGUUAGCAGCGCAGUGCAGAACCACGGUGCAUGCGAUAAGAUUUCCUCCCACUGAAGCGGUCUGGAAACCCGGUCUCUCUGAGGGAUGGAAAAAUGGAAAAAUUGCAAAAAUGUUCUUUUUAUGAAAUUAUGAAACUUUGGCUGAACAGCGCUUGUUCCCGUCUCUAAUAUGGACACGCAUGACGCAUCCAGUCUGAGGCAGAAUAGCAGCUUAGAAAGCACCUGUAGAGACAUUUGAUCACGCACAAAGUUCAUGUGGAGCAGAAGUGGUCGGGCCACGGCAGGUGAAAUGUUCCUACAUGAAGUGAAACUGUUUAAUUGUAACAUUAAUAUGUUACUGGACAUGCUGGUCUGGUUGGUUAGACCAGUGUUGGAAGUGGAAUACACACACACACACACACACCAAUUAAAAUAAUGCUGAUAGCGUGGACUAGAAGACUGGUGAUGGUUUUAUUUAAAUGAUGAUCAGGCUGCUGUAAAAUGUAUUCUCCAUCCACAUCCAGACAGAAUGAUCCUCUAUUCUAUUUGCUCUGCUCUUGUCUGGGCUGAUGUAGCUGAUGGUGCGCGCGACGCGCCUAACGGCUGUGGUGCACAUUUUACGCAUUUGGAGAGGUGGACUGGAUGCUUUGCUUUCACUGGAAGAUGGUCCACUUAACGCACGGGUGUAGACUACAUAUUAAUGACAAAUGAAUGAAAAUUAAAUUGGGAGUUUUUACUUCAUAUUUUAGAAAUAAAAAUGACGGGGGAACACAUUUAUGACGACUUUUUAAACGAAAUUUUCUAGCGCGACCUGCCUGCUUCACUUAAGUCACUGCUUAUUAAGGUCCGUCCAAAAUUACCGUGGCCCACCCAAAAAUGAAAACCUGGCACUGCACCUGUUAUAAACCUCUGCAAAUUGUUGUUCUUCACGUUAUCAAACUCAGACUUUGUACAGCUAAUGUCAAGAUGUAAAAUUAUGAAUUCAGUCGAGCUCUUCCGUCCCUCCCUCUCCUGCUCUCCUGGAAACCCGACAUCGGCUGUCAGAAGCGGGAGGUGAAGAAGGAGAUGAGGCAAACAGAGCGAGUGCGACAUAGAGAAACCAGACUGGUGUGGAGGUGAGCAAAACAGCUGGAAAAGUGUGGGUGUUGAAUCCCCCACGGGUGCGAUGCCCAUGCGAGCGACCGGUACCGGCUGCUGUCACCUGGUUGUGAGCAGCUCUCUGCUGUCUGAGGGUAGGCCCCGCCCACAAUGCUGCGGCUGCUGCGAUGUUUUCUUUACUGUGGGAAACGGGUAAUAAUGGCACUUUGAUGGGAACAGGUUGCCGACCCCUGGUAUAAGAUCUGAGCUGGUAAAACAAAAAUCCUCAUCAGCAGGCUUUUUUGAAAGUGGGGGGGACACAGCUGCCAAUCACAAAUUUUGCCGGGGACAUGUCCCCGGCGUCCCCGGUUAAAAUGACGCCUAUGGUGGUGUGGAUGUGCCGAUUACCCGUUGUCUGUGAGCCCGUCCCAUGAAACAUAACAGGUAAGCGUGUGAUGAUUAAUUGAAAAGGAAGGAAAUCAGCAGUUUAAUAAUUAUUUCCUUCCUUUUAACAGAAAGCGCUGACACUGCUGUUUUUGUUCAGUUGAUUAUUUUGUUAUACUUAUUUUUCCUUUGAUAAAACUAAUGUUUUCAUUGUGAGUCACUUUUAGAAAGGGGGUCUAUGACGACUAGAAGGUUGGCUGUGGAGGGCCGCAUACGUGAGAGGGCUCAGCCGUAUUACCAGUUGGUGUGGAGAAUAGUGCGUGUUUUUAUUCUUUUUCUUGUUUGCAUGAUGAUUGCCGUGUGUAUUAAGUAAAUACAUCUACACAGCCCUGGUCGUUUUGCCUCCCUCCUCCAGCAGAAGGUGUCAUUAGUCCCCUCUGGGGUUUUUAACUGUCUUGUUCCUUUUUUUAUAUAGAAGAACUUGUUUUAUGCAUUGUGUGUAAAUAAACUCAAGUUUGGAGGAAGACAUUGUCUCAGCCCAUUGUUUGAUCAAGCGUGAUCACUCUCCGUACCUCAAAUAAUAGCAGUCAUGGGGCUCUAGGUUCACUUGUAACCAAAUUAAUAUGUAGUCAAUUCGCUUUCUUUCGCUGAAUUUCUACUUUGUUCUUGAUGGUCGCACGUGUGAACCAUGUGCACGAACACAUUCAGUGCAAACACACACAUGCAUUUAGAUGUCUUAAAUUAAAUUGUGUGCAUUAAUCUUAUAGUACAAGCAGUAGAGUUAUCUUCUGUAAUAUGUUUUAAUGGUGGGCUGGUUUGAUUAAUAUGUGUGAUAGGCUGGCCGAUCAACUGGUUGAGACGCCAACCAGUCCUGCUACAUCUACAUACAAACAGUCCAAAGAACUGGGUGUGUGUAGCCUCUGUGAGGCCCUCCACAUACGGGCCCUUGAACACCCAGAUGGUCUGUUACACAUACGUCUCUGGUUCUGAUAAAGCGGCCAAGCAGUCAAUAAUAUUUACAAACAGUCCCAAGUCUAUAUAUAUGUCUGUGGUCCCACGAUGAACACGGGCUUUAAAAACUCUGGACAUCUCCUGUGAUUUAAAUUCCAGGGGCGUGUCCAGGGAGUGGCCUGGGGUAGCACCAAGCCCCACAAUGCCUCUCUAAAAAUGGUCCCAACCCGGAAGUAAGAAAAAUUGCAGUUCCACCUUCAUCCGCUGGGGGCUGGUCUCAGAAGCGAGCAAAUCCUCAUUGACUCCCAUGUUAAAAAUGCCAUUUCCACAGCAGAAAUAAACAUGUUUACAGCCUGGUUCCAAAAUUUUUUUUUUGUCUAAAUUAUCUAGUUUAUACUCAUGACAACUCUGAGGGGGUGAAUUUUUUUCUCACUCUUCUGUUUAAGUGUAUUGAAAGCCUAAAAUUCUGUAUAAUUAAUGAGCAUCCGACACACGUGACCGCCGCCUCAGACCCACGUGACCACAUAGCUAGCUCCGUGGAAAGGCCUCAGUACAGCCUCGGUCUCUCCUGGAAACUGUUUCGGGAUUUUGAGUCUCUGUGCUUGUGAAUUCUGUUUUGGAUAUGUUUGGUGCAAUUGUUGGACAAAAUGACUUGCUGUGGUAUUAAUUGCACUAAUAGAACGUCCAAGGAGUCUCCACUUCAUUUUUUUCGGGAAGGACCUGAUUGGUGUCCAGAACCUGCUGUAGAAGCACCAGGCUCUGCAGGCUGAGAUCACAGGUCAUGAACCUCGCAUCAAGGCUGUCACCCAGAAAGGAGAGACCAUGGUGGAGGAAGGUCACUUCGCUGGUGAGGAAGUGAAGACUAAACUGUGGGAGCUUCAUGGACGUUGGGAGACGCUGAAGGCCAAGGCGUCCCAGAGGAGGCAGGACCUGGAGGACUCUCUGCAGGCCCAGCAGUACUUUGCGGAUGCUAAUGAGGCCGAGUCCUGGAUGAGGGAGAAGGAGCCCAUCGUUGGAAGUCCAGACUAAGGGAAAGACGAGGACUUGGCCGAGGCUCUCCUGAAGAAGCACGAGGCCCUGAUGUCGGACCUGUCGGCUUACGGCAGCAGCAUCCAGGCCCUGAAGGAGCAGGCCCAGUCCUGCAGGGUGAGUUCAGAAACCUCGGCCCGUCAGAACAUUCUUAUCCACCACGUUCUAACACCAGACCUGUUAACCCGACAGCAACAAGGUUAUCAGCAGGUGCUUUUGUCCUGCAGGACUUGAAGGCCAACGAGUCCCGCCUGAGGGACAUCAACAAGGUGGCAUCUGAACUGGAGUCAGAAGGUCUGAUGGCUGAGGAGGCUCCUAUGGUUCAGGUUCAGGUGAGCGUCACCUGUCUGCAGCAGCUGGUCCCUCUCACUUCUUGGUUUAACUCUGCUCGUCUCUGUUUGUAGCAACAAGAACAUCUGGGUUCUGCUCCUGGAAAGGUGCAUGUUGUCCUCCGCCUCCACCAGAACCAGACGUGGUGUUUUUGUUACCACUCAUUUGUUUGUUUGUUUACAGGAUGAAGCAGACUCUAACACGGCGUCACCCUGGAAGACCGUACAGUUGGGCGUUCAGACGAUGGCUAACUUUAAUUCCAUCAAGGUAAGAGG